Molecule: microRNA precursor, 207 nt
Organism: Oryza sativa Japonica Group (Japanese rice)
Lineage: Eukaryota; Viridiplantae; Streptophyta; Magnoliopsida; Poales; Poaceae
Rfam family: MIR812 microRNA precursor family
Source: Rfam
AAUAAGUGUAGUUUUGCACUAUUUACGUUCAACGUUUGACCGUUCGUCUUAUUUAAAAUUUUUUUAUGAUUAGUAUUUUUAUUGCAUUAGAUGAUAAAACAUGAAUAGUACUUUAUGUGUGACUAAAUAUUUUCAAUUUUUUCACAAAUUUUUUAAAUAAGACGGACGGUUAAACGUUCGGCACGGAUAUCCACGGCUGCACUUAUU